CGAGCAAUCCUCCCCCCUCGGCCUCUUAGAGUGCUAGGAUUACAGGGGUGAGCCACCGUACCCAGCCGAGAGAUGGUAACUAAAUAAAGAAGUUUAUAUCUAACUAAACUGUUACUUAAGAGUGAAGGGUCUAAAUAAGGCAUUUUAAACAAGAGAGGAAAAAAACUACAUGUGUAGGCUGAUUACAAAAAGGUCCUCAGUUUUCUAUGCCCCGUGUAACCUACAGAUCUCAGCACGUGAACGAGCCCAGCUAACCCACAGACUCAAAUGCAAUAAUAAAUAAUUAUUGUUUCAAUCCCCUAAGUAUUGUUGUCAUUUUUUAGGUCUCAGUACACAACUGAGGUGCUGACAUUUUCAGGAAACAAACCCAGGAGGAAGGAGUCGGAUGCAAGAAGCCUUUCAAAGAGACGAAGGUCUCUUACCUCAAAGGAGAUGUGGCCCAAGGGCUUGCCAUCAACGGCGAUAUUGAAGAACAUGGUGGGGUUGACCAUGGUAUGAUUGCAGCUUUGCACAGUUUUGAAAUUCCCAGGUGAUAGCAUAAAAUGUGUGAAGGUGCACACCCCCUCAUCAACACAGGAGCAUUUCCUCCUGGCAUCUCGCAAGAAAGAUGAUUGAAAUAAUGACCGUAGUCCUUAAGAAUGUCAUCUAAUCAGUCAGUUUAUAAGAUUCAUCUUGGGUUCAAAGGAUAUUGAGAUUUUUGACUCUUAAGCUAUGAAUAGCAAAUGGGAUAUUUGCAAAUAAGUAAGUUAAGAAAACUUGAAAAGAGCAAGUGUUCUUUGUUUUGAUCUAUUUGAUCAAAGCCUUUGACAUGAUGGAAAAGUAGCUGUUAUUUAUAAAUUUUGAAGUCUCGAGACUAAUGGGAUUCAUUCUGAAGGUGCCUCAUCCAGUGCAAUGCCCGUCUCAAGUGGAGCUAAACCCAAUUGUAUCCCCUGAACUCUGGCAUUCCAAAACACAGGCCAAGCUAGAUGGUACAGCCAGUUAAUUUUUCUCAGAGAUAUUUCUGUCUCUCAUUUCUUAUCAAACUGCAGUUUUUUUUUUUAAAAGAAUGAAGGCUAUCUUAUCAUUGAUUUAUGAAUGUAUAAGACAUUUUCUUGGGUAAUAUGUUAGAAAUGCUUUGCAAUAAAAAUGUAUUCAAGAUAUCUAGUCUUAAAGGACUCUCUUUUUCCAUAAUUAGAUAAACAGAGCAAGGAAGCCAUAGAGACAUCUACAAAUAGGCCUUGAAAUCCAGGGGACAUUUUUUGGAGUUGCAGGAAACAGAAAUGAGGGAGCUGAAGUGUGGGAAGCCCUGGCCGGUCUCAUGAUCCUUGACCACAUCCUAGAUGCAAAUCGGUUCAUCUUCAUCGAAUGUCCCAUGCCCAGAUGGCUGCAGUGGGGCUGGGGGACAUGUGCCCGCCUGCUGCCACAGGAACGGGGACCCACCCUCCUUUCCACCAGGCAGCCGGGGCUACUGGGGGGCUGGGAGGCUCACUGCUGCCAAGGGAAGUGUCCCCUGCUGAACAUUUUGUCAUGGCCCACAAGAGAAGGAGGGGACGGAUUCUAUGAAGUAGUUCUUCCUUGAAUUUUUGCUUUAGGUAACUUGGUCACACAAUCAAGGGUAUAAGUUACUAUGGGAUGCUUUUUUUAAAAAAACAGAAGAAAUCCCAUGAGACUGUUGUAGAAAACUGACCGUUUUCAAGUGCUCACUGAGUGUAGUUGGCAAUGUACAAAGACCCACACCUGCAGCAUUCUGCCAAGUCAUGUGCCCAUUAUUGCUUAUGGCUGGAACCAGAUGACCUGCCCAGUUAAUCUGUUCUUAAUGUGCUUAA
Non-coding RNA from Microcebus murinus (gray mouse lemur), 1805 nucleotides. Lineage: Eukaryota; Metazoa; Chordata; Mammalia; Primates; Cheirogaleidae. The record is from RefSeq and is a predicted model, not a curated record.